GCAUAUCAAUAAGCGGAGGAAAAGAAACCAACAGGGAUUGCCUCAGUAACGGCGAGUGAAGCGGCAACAGCUCAAAUUUGAAAUCUGGCUCCUUCGGGGCCCGAGUUGUAAUUUGGAGAAGAUGCUUCGAGCGUGGCCCUGGCCUAAGUUCCUUGGAACAGGACGUCAUAGAGGGUGAGAAUCCCGUACGUGACCGGCGGCCUACGCUCGUGUGAAGCUCUUUCGACGAGUCGAGUUGUUUGGGAAUGCAGCUCUAAAUGGGUGGUAAAUUUCAUCUAAAGCUAAAUAUUGGCCAGAGACCGAUAGCGCACAAGUAGAGUGAUCGAAAGAUGAAAAGCACUUUGGAAAGAGAGUUAAACAGUACGUGAAAUUGUUGAAAGGGAAGCGCUUGCAACCAGACUUGCGCGUCGCUGAUCAUCUGGUGUUCUCACCGGUGCGCUCAGCGGCGUUCAGGCCAGCAUCAGUUUUGGUGGUUGGAUAAAGGCCCUGGGAACGUGACUCCUUCCGGGGAGUGUUAUAGCCCAGGGCGCAAUACAGCCUACCGAGACUGAGGACCGCGCUUCGGCUAGGAUGCUGGCGUAAUGGUUGUAAGCGACCCGUCUUGAAACACGGACC
Molecule: ribosomal RNA, 615 nt
Filed under: Leotiomycetes sp. JCM 28184
Lineage: Eukaryota; Fungi; Ascomycota; Leotiomycetes
Description: eukaryotic LSU rRNA
Rfam family: Eukaryotic large subunit ribosomal RNA
Source: RNAcentral